AGAAUUUUACCGUCUCCGUCAUUGAGGUUAUAGUUUUAAUUGGUCCCUAGAGGGGUUUCGGGGACAGUUGUGUGCGGAGGAUUAUUCGUAGGAAGAAAAUAUGACGAUGGUAAAAAUGGUAAAUUUUAGCUAGUAAAAGGUAAUUUUUAUUCGGGUAUUAUUUUUCGGGGUGUUUUAUUUUUUGGGAGUUGGGUAUAAUGGUGGAGUUGGACCGGUUGGAGAGGCCCAACCCAUUUCCCCCUCUCUGUCUCUUCUUCUCUCUUUUCUCUUCCUUCUCCCUCCCGUGGUCUCUCUCCCUUCGCCGGAACUUCCAGCUGCCAGCUGCCGUCGUCCGGCUAGCCACCAGCCACCACUCCACCCCAUUUCAGACCCCCAUCACCUCCUCUCCCUCCCCGGCCUAGCCCCCGAGCCGUUAGCCCGCCGGAAGAAGAGAAAUCUCGCCGGAGACGUCGGGAAGCUUUUCGCCGGAACUCUCUCCUCCGGCCACCAAUCCGGGCAAGCUUGGUACGGUUUUGUAGGUCUCCAACCCAGCUGCCUUGCCCUAUAUAAAUAUAAUAAUUUAUAUAGGGGAUAUGCGCGUAUAUAUUUAUACACCGUCUUUUCCACCAUAAUGAGGUAAAAUGCCAUUAUGGUGCGACGUGAGCGUUAGACGCAAGUGUCGUAGCCUUGUGUGAAUUUUCUAUUUGUCUUUGUUGUUUCAAGAAAAUUCAUACAAGGGAUAUGAUGAGUGUAAUACAUACAUAUUUUAUUUUAGCCUGAGAGGCUGUAUUUUAUUGAGCUUUGGAGACUGGCCGGAGCUAGUCAUGAAAUUGCCAGUUUUUGUGUUAAGCGUUUUUGAACUGUCGCAUGCAGCAUAUUUUCUAUGGAAAUGUAAUUGGGAAAGCAUAAAUAUUUUCAUUAAAUUUAUGUUUUUGUAUACUCACUCUAACGUGUUUCAAAUGUUUUCCCCUGGGCCCUUCGUUUUAAAAAUGCCCAGCUUGCAGGUUAGCUUAGUUGAGGUCGGGCGUACCUGGAGAUGAGGCAUAGUCAUCAUAUAGCUUCCGCUUGUUAAUUUAUUUUGUUUCCUUUCUUCCUGUUAGAGUUGCUCUGAACCUAUAAAUGGUUGGAUAUGAGAUUUGUUUAGAUUAGUAAAUUUUGGGUGGUGUUGUGAUUUGGGGAGCACGAAGGCUCCAGGAGUAGAAGAUUAUAAAUGGAUUCUUUUGAAGUGUAUGCAUGUAUUAUUAGGAAGGGUUGUCCAUUUUCAAGGGAGGUUAUGCCGAAUUUUUCAGUAAACUUUCCUUCGAGGUGGUCCCCGCAGGAUUUACUUCGGGUUUCAGGGUGAAAUUCAGGGUGGGUCUUGACAACAUCUAAUGUGAGAAAAAAUUACUGGUCUUACUAACCGCAAUAAAGUUGAUGUUUGAGUAACCUAAGAUGUAUUCUUUGUUGUAAUUAUUUGUGACUUAUAUAUGUUGUACAUGCAGACCAUCAAGGUGUACCUCGCAAUGUUGAAGGAGGAAAUGGAAAAGAAGAAGGUCUCGGUCGGAUUCCUAGACAUAGAGGCAGCGGUAAGUAGUCUAACCUGAAAUAGUAGCGUGCCGUAGCACCGCAGUCUCCUCCGUUACUUUUUUUCAGUUAACACAAUCUUACUACUUGCUUUUAUAAAUACAGCGCACAGCGGUGGUACAUGAAAAAAAACUGAAAGAGUUCCUAGCUGGAGGAGGAAAAUAGGGGGAAUUCAAAUGUAAUGAAUUGGAUAUAGAGCUUUCCAUCAUUAAUCCUCUGUGGUCCAUCUUCAGCAAAGACCUGGUUUUCAUUCCGGUACAUCACGGGGUCAGCCACCACUAUACCUUGGUCUUGAUUGACAACGAAGCUCGAUGCUUCUAUCACCUGAACUCAAUGCUAUCGCCAAGGAAAGAUUACUCUACUGACACCAACAACCAUUUUCAGAAUGCAAUGGCAGUGGUGAGUUGUAACUGAUUUUUUAGGUAAGAAGUUUACUGGGGGCGAGUAAACUUCUUACCCUGUUUUUGUUUGUUGCUUGUUCUCUUAGUUUGUUUGAGUUGGUCCUGAUUGACAACGAAGCUCGAUGCUUCUAUCACCUGAACUCAAUGCUAUCGCCAAGGAAAGAUUACUCUGCCGACAUCAACAACCAUUUUCAGAAUGCAAUGGCAAUGGUGAGUUGUAACUGAUUUAUUAGGGUAAGAAGUUUACUGGGGGCAGUAAACUUCUUACCCUGUUUUUUGUUUGUUGCUUGUUCUCUUAAUUUGUUUGAGUUGUAAUUUACUUGUUUGUUGGAACCAACAGGUGAAGCACAUUAUGGUGUUCAUCAAACGCGUAUAUGAUUCCACCAAAUACCCUCUCAGCCAAGGCUUGGACCCUGAGGAAUGGAAGGAAAACUAUGACAAGCAAGAUAGCCAAGGAAUAGUGGUUGACGGUUACUCGAUGAUGAGUGCUGAAGAGAAAAGAACAAGAAGAUGGAUGCUGGACUAAAAUGUUUAUCAAGCAAGAUACAAGCUGAAGGAUAUCUUAUCCUGCCCGCAGCAAAAGAAAACAUCGUAAGUACCUUUAAACUACCUUUAAAGAGU
RNAcentral lists this long non-coding RNA (2564 nucleotides) under Fragaria vesca (wild strawberry). RNAcentral describes it as "long non-coding RNA (FVES_LNC005559)". The record is from RNAcentral. Lineage: Eukaryota; Viridiplantae; Streptophyta; Magnoliopsida; Rosales; Rosaceae.